CCGUGAACCAGCCAAGUAGCGUGAAGGAUGAAGGUUCUAUGGAUUGUAAACUUCUUUUAUAAGGGAAUAACGUGCGCUACGUGUAGCGUUUUGCAUGUACCUUAUGAAUAAGCAUCGGCUAACUCCGUGCCAGCAGCCGCGGUAAUACGGAGGAUGCGAGCGUUAUCCGGAUUUAUGGGUUUAAAGGGAGCGUAGGCCGGUUUUAAGUCAGUUGUGAAAGUUUGGGGCUCAACCUUAAAAUUGCAGUUGAAACUGGAGACCUUGAGUGCGGUAUAGGCAGGCGGAAUUCGUGGUGUAGCGGUGAAAUGCUUAGAUAUCACGAAGAACUCCAAUUGCGAAGGCAGCUUGCUGGACCGUAACUGACGCUGAUGCUCGAAAGUGUGGGUAUCAAACAGGAUUAGAUACCCUGGUAGUCCACACGGUAAACGAUGGAUACUCGCUGUUGGUGAUAUACAGUCAGCGGCCAAGCGAAAGCAUUAAGUAUCCCACCUGGGGAGUACGCCGGCAACGGUGAAACUCAAAGAAAUUGACGGGGGCCGUCGACGCGGCCG
Molecule: ribosomal RNA, 551 nt
Filed under: uncultured bacterium
Lineage: Bacteria
Description: bacterial SSU rRNA
Rfam family: Bacterial small subunit ribosomal RNA
Source: RNAcentral